AACAGGAUUAGAUACCCUGGUAGUCCACGCCGUAAACGAUGUCGACUUGGAGGUUGUUCCCUUGAGGAGUGGCUUCCGGAGCUAACGCGUUAAGUCGACCGCCUGGGGAGUACGGCCGCAAGGUUAAAACUCAAAUGAAUUGACGGGGGCCCGCACAAGCGGUGGAGCAUGUGGUUUAAUUCGAUGCAACGCGAAGAACCUUACCUACUCUUGACAUCCAGAGAACUUAGCAGAGAUGCUUUGGUGCCUUCGGGAACUCUGAGACAGGUGCUGCAUGGCUGUCGUCAGCUCGUGUUGUGAAAUGUUGGGUUAAGUCCCGCAGCGAGCGCAACCCUUAUCCUUUGUUGCCAGCGGUCCGGCCGGGAACUCAAAGGAGACUGCCAGUGAUAAACUGGAGGAAGGUGGGGAUGACGUCAAGUCAUCAUGGCCCUUACGAGUAGGGCUACACACGUGCUACAAUGGCGCAUACAAAGAGAAGCGACCUCGCGAGAGCAAGCGGACCUCAUAAAGUGCGUCGUAGUCCGGAUUGGAGUCUGCAACUCGACUCCAUGAAGUCGGAAUCGCUAGUAAUCGUAGAUCAGAAUGCUACGGUGAAUACGUUCCCGGGCCUUGUACACACCGCCCGUCACACCAUGGGAGUGGGUUGCAAAAGAAGUGGGUAGCUUAACCUUCGGGAGGGCGCUUACCACUUUGUGAUUCAUGACUGGGGUGAAGUCGUAACAAGGUAACC
Molecule: ribosomal RNA, 730 nt
Filed under: uncultured bacterium
Lineage: Bacteria
Description: bacterial SSU rRNA
Rfam family: Bacterial small subunit ribosomal RNA
Source: RNAcentral